AUGAACGCUGGCGGCGUGCCUAAUACAUGCAAGUCGAGCGAACAGACGAGGAGCUUGCUCCUCUGACGUUAGCGGCGGACGGGUGAGUAACACGUGGAUAACCUACCUAUAAGACUGGGAUAACUUCGGGAAGCCGGAGCUAAUACCGGAUAAUAUAUUGAACCGCAUGGUUCAAUAGUGAAAGACGGUUUUGCUGUCACUUAUAGAUGGAUCCGCGCCGCAUUAGCUAGUUGGUAAGGUAACGGCUUACCAAGGCAACGAUGCGUAGCCGACCUGAGAGGGUGAUCGGCCACACUGGAACUGAGACACGGUCCAGACUCCUACGGGAGGCAGCAGUAGGGAAUCUUCCGCAAAGGGCGAAAGCCUGACGGAGCAACGCCGCGUGAGUGAUGAAGGUCUUCGGAUCGUAAAACUCUGUUAUUAGGGAAGAACAAAUGUGUAAGUAACUAUGCACGUCUUGACGGUACCUAAUCAGAAAGCCACGGCUAACUACGUG
This 496-nucleotide ribosomal RNA is filed under the name uncultured bacterium. RNAcentral's name for it is "partial 16S ribosomal RNA". It matches the Rfam family "Bacterial small subunit ribosomal RNA", at positions 29 to 507 of the family's 1533-position model. The record is from RNAcentral.